AAGGCUGGAGAACACACACACACCUUCAAUGUUGGUGUCAUUUGAAGAUGUGGCUGUGGACUUUACCCAGGAGGAAUGGCAGCACAUGGACAACACUCAGCGGACCCUGUACAGGGAUGUGAUGCUUGAGACUUACAACAAUCUGCUGUCCUUGGGGUACAGCUUGACAAAGCCUGAUGUGAUCUUAAACUUGGAACGACAUUCAACACCAUGGACCGUGGACAAAUCUACAAACCGGAGACUUCCAGG
Ochotona curzoniae (black-lipped pika) is the source of this 249-nucleotide long non-coding RNA. RefSeq lists it as uncharacterized. The record is from RefSeq and is a predicted model, not a curated record. The transcript has 3 exons. NCBI's taxonomy places the organism in Eukaryota, Metazoa, Chordata, Mammalia, Lagomorpha, Ochotonidae.